GCAGAGCGGAGCCGCCGCAGCCCCACGCGCCGCCCAGGACCCACUUGCCACCACUGCCUCCGCAGUACCCAUGGGGACCAGGAGACUUUAAAGGAGUUUGGGGUUUCGGGAGCAGGGAAAUCACGGAUCCCCGCUCCUGGCCCUUGCCUCGUGCGUCAUUGAUGGGCAACCAACUGGACCGCAUCACCCACCUCAACUACAGCGAAUUGCCCACGGGGGACCCCUCUGGGAUCGAGAAGGACGAGCUACGGGUCGGGGUCGCCUACUUCUUCUCGGAUGAGGAGGAGGACCUGGACGAGCGCGGCCAGCCGGACAAGUUUGGAGUGAAAGCGCCUCCGGGGUGCACGCCCUGCCCGGAGAGCCCCAGCCGCCACCACCACCACCUGCUGCACCAGCUGGUCCUGAACGAGACUCAGUUCUCCGCCUUUCGGGGCCAGGAAUGCAUCUUCUCCAAAGUGAGCGGCGGCCCCCAGGGCGCCGACAGAGGCACCAUCACCGCCCCCAAAGCCACCGGAAGGCCUGUCGGAGGGGAGGAUGAUGGAUCUUUUCAGGGUGCAGUUCACUCCUGUAUGGAUGUGUCCCCAGAUUGCAGGAUUUCCAAGAAAUCGAGCCUGUCCCUUAAGCACUAGUGAAUCAUUCCACCACGAGAGAGCACCUGGGGACUCAGGGUCACCCCGAGGCUGCCCGGGACUGUUCCAGCUCUCCAGCCCCCAGGCCUGCUGGUUUUGUAUUCCAGGCUGCGGGCUAAGCUAGACAGUGUUUGUUUCCUAUGAUUUCCACCGGGGGAAGCGCUCGCCACGCCCUCCCACCCCGCAUUCCCUGUGAGGCCCCCAGCCUGACAGAAGGGAAGCCUUCCCUGUCCCCUUCCCCGGAGGGAAAUGGCCAGCUGAUUGGGGAGGAGCGCAGGCCCCGCCCCAGGCAAGGAGAAGGGCGCUUGUUGAUCUUCACCCUACAUUGCUCCCUCCUUGGGCUGCAUUUCAAAAAUCAUCCUAUUUAUAAAGGGGUUGGAGGAGAGGGAGAGAGAAGACGAGGCAAUGUUCCAGAAACCAGCAUUAUGACAAUGCCAGAGCCAGUCUAUUUAGUUUGGCUUUUCCUAACAUAGAAAUCUUAAAAGGUGGGGAAGUGCAAAUAAAGUUUUAAAAAAUGAGGGGGCAGUGCUCCAACUAUGUCAACCAAGCAUAUCGUGUUGAUGUUUUUAUUGACCAUUUUAGCAACAUGCUAAUAAAAUUUCAAAUUGAAAUUUUUAUUUUCAUGGCUUUACUCCAUGAUCGUUUAAAUACUGGGGGCCAUUAAGAGUGGACUUAGCUACGAGCUUGGCUAGCAUUGCCUUUUCACUGUUUUUCUCAAGUCCUUUGAGAAUUCUGUUUUUGAAUAUUGUUUCUUUAAACAGCAGCCCGUGGUGCUGGUGGCGUUGCUAAUUCAUGUGAAUGUUGUACUGAAUCUCUGCCAGCGAAGGGGUUUCCUGCUUUGGUGGGCCUUGCUAGCAGGUUCCAUGAUGUUCCUUUUCUAGGUGGUGGAAACCAUUACCAUCCCACGUUUCCAUUUCUGUUUUUCUUCCUCCCUUCCUUAAUCUCCUUUUAAAAAAUAAAUCUAGAGUUAGUGGCUUUUCCCCUUCUCUGUGGUCCGUCCCACAAGUCAUUCCUGAAACACCAGAAAGGACUUGUAGGAUCUGUACAAACGUGUGUUUUUCAAAAAAUUAAGGCUGUUUGAAACCCCUUCUCUGGGCAACAAUUUACCACCUUCUCUCCCUGCUCUGCAGCCCAGCCGGGUGGACUAUUACUUACUAAUUCCGUGUGUGUCAGACAUCGACAGCAUCUGCGUCCCUUGCCAGGGAACUUGUCAAAUAAUGGUGUUUAGCUAAUCAUCGCAAGCAAUUGCCUAUUGACAGCUGUGAUUUAGUUGGACAGCAAAUAUUAUGGCCAAAGCCAGUUUCUUGGCAUUUCAAAAAUAAUGCAAUAAACACUAGUCGAGGUUAGCUGAGACUGGAACUGCCUCUUCCGUGGUCAAUGAUUCAUUUCUGUUUUGUGUUUUGGUUUUCAUCCUGGAGUCAUUCCCUGAUCUUGACUCAAAAGGUCAGGUCAAUGGACUAUGAACUAGAGUAUUUUUCUUACAGCUAUCGAGUGAUUUAUUUUUUAAGAAAAUGUUUUAAAUGCAUAUGCUUUCCUUUCAGCACAUACAAUGGCAAAACUUUUGUACUAACGCGCUCACCUUUGCAUGUACGGAGAACUGAGAGUCCUCAAGUCCCCUCACUUACUCCUCUCUCAAGUCACAGAUGGCAGAUCACCAGCCGCGGUCCGUUAUUGUGUCUGCACACUCCGCAUUCUUUAUGUGUCCUCCUACUGUACCUUGGCUCUCUGCUGUAUUAAACACCAUCCUAAGCAAUUGUUCCAA
Myotis brandtii (Brandt's bat) is the source of this 2391-nucleotide RNA transcript. RefSeq lists it as uncharacterized. The transcript is spliced from 3 exons. NCBI's taxonomy places the organism in Eukaryota, Metazoa, Chordata, Mammalia, Chiroptera, Vespertilionidae. The record is from RefSeq and is a predicted model, not a curated record.